This 1333-nucleotide long non-coding RNA is filed under the name Anser brachyrhynchus (Pink-footed goose). RNAcentral's name for it is "lncRNA (ENSABRG00000015619.1)". Lineage: Eukaryota; Metazoa; Chordata; Aves; Anseriformes; Anatidae. The record is from RNAcentral.
CGGCGCGAGACGCUGCCUGCGCGUCGCCAUGGCAACGCACGUCACCGCCAGGGGAGUCCCGCGCCCCCCCCCUCGUCCCUCCCCAAGCCGCCCGCAGGCCGCCAUGUUGCGGCGCUGACAGGGCCCGGCCCCGCCCCGCCCCGGGGAAAGCCUUUCCGCAGCCCCCGGGGGCAGCCGGGUCCUGAGGGGGGCUCGUUACCGAGGCAGCCCAGUGGGGAGCUUCAUUAUGUGUGUGUGUUACCCGUCUGUUUCCAUCCCCCAGACCUAGCAGGUGAAUCUGACCAUAUGGCAAAUAUAGUGAGGCUUCCAAGGGACGGGAGGGUUUCUGCCUGUGUGUGUGUUUGCAGGCCCACUGGGUGACACUCACCAUGUGGCAAAUACAGCGAUGAAGUCUUUGGUGCAAAGGGGCUAAUUAUGUGUGUGUUUCCCAAAAGACCCAGCGUGCUGGGUUUGAUGAUGCAUGUCUCACUAAUGCAAGGCUGAGAUGGAAGCUUCAUCGUAUGUCCUCAGUGCAUACAAACUCCAAGCUCUCAGAAGCAAGGCUAGCCAUCGGACGAGCAUGGUGUUAAAAGUGCAAUCAAGUCUUAGAAUCAUGUAUAUUUGCAUACAUGGACAGACAUGAGGGGAGAUCAUAAAAUCAUAGAGUGGCUUGGGUUGGAAGGGACCUUAAAGAUCAUCUAAUUCCAAGCCCCCUGCCGUGGGGACACCUUCCACUAGACCAGGUUGCCCAAAGCCCCAUCCAACCCAGCCUUAAACACUUCCAGGGAUGGGGCAUCCACAGCUUCUCUGGGCAACAUGUACCAGUGUCUCACCACCCUCAUAGUAAAAGUUUUUUUCCUAAUAUCUAGUCUAAAUCUAUCCUUUUUUAUUUUAAUGCCAUUCCUCCUUGUCCUAUCACUACGCCCCCUGACAAAGAGUCCCUCCCCAGCUUUUCUGCAGCCCCCUUUAGGUACUGGAAGACUGCUAUAAGGUCUCACCAGAGCCUUCUUUUCUCCAGACUGAACAACCCCAACUGCCUCAGCCUGUCUUCAUAGGAGAGGUGCUCCAGCCCCUUGAUCAUCCUCAUGGCCCUCCUCUGGACUUGCUCUAAUAUGUCCAUGUCCUUCUUGUGCUGGGGGCCCCAGAGCUGAAUGCAGGGCUCCAAGUCGGGUCUCACAAGAGCAGAGCAGAGGGGGAUAAUCCCCUCCCUCAACCUGCUUGCCAUGCUGCUUUUGAUGCAGUCCAGGAUACAGGUUGGCCUUCUGGGCUGCACGCAUUGCAACAUUGCCAGCUCAUGUUGAGCUUCUCAUCAUCACUUCUAAGUCCUUCUCCUCAGGGUGGCUCUCAAUCCAUU